Molecule: non-coding RNA, 21 nt
Filed under: Rattus norvegicus (Norway rat)
Lineage: Eukaryota; Metazoa; Chordata; Mammalia; Rodentia; Muridae
Source: RNAcentral
UGGAAAACGAAAGGGUGGGGG